RNAcentral lists this ribosomal RNA (467 nucleotides) under uncultured Sphingobacteriales bacterium. RNAcentral's name for it is "bacterial SSU rRNA". It matches the Rfam family "Bacterial small subunit ribosomal RNA", at positions 917 to 1381 of the family's 1533-position model. The record is from RNAcentral. Lineage: Bacteria; Pseudomonadati; Bacteroidota; Sphingobacteriia; Sphingobacteriales.
UGACGGGGCCGCACAAGCGGUGGAGCAUGUGGUUUAAUUCGAUGAUACGCGAGGAACCUUACCUGGGCUCAAAUGUAUGUUGACGUAUUCUGAAAGGGAUACUUCUUCGGACAAUAUACAAGGUGCUGCAUGGUUGUCGUCAGCUCGUGCCGUGAGGUGUCGGGUUAAGUCCCAUAACGAGCGCAACCCCUAUCAUUAGUUGCCAUCAGGUCAAGCUGGGGACUCUAAUGAAACUGCCUACGCAAGUAGUGAGGAAGGUGGGGAUGACGUCAAAUCAGCACGGCCCUUACGUCCAGGGCUACACACGUGCUACAAUGGCCGGUACAAAGGGCAGCUACCUGGUGACAGGAUGCUAAUCUCAAAAGCCGGUCUCAGUUCGGAUCGGAGUCUGCAACCCGACUCCGUGAAGUUGGAUUCGCUAGUAAUCGCGCAUCAGCCAUGGCGCGGUGAAUACGUUCCCGGGCCUU